This 53-nucleotide non-coding RNA is filed under the name unclassified sequences. RNAcentral describes it as "chromate-resist RNA". It matches the Rfam family "chrB-b RNA". The record is from RNAcentral.
UCGGGCUGAAACGCAGUCGCCCGGCUUCCCAAGGCGUAUCGCCCAAGCACUGC